RNAcentral lists this ribosomal RNA (466 nucleotides) under uncultured bacterium. RNAcentral describes it as "partial 16S ribosomal RNA". It matches the Rfam family "Bacterial small subunit ribosomal RNA", at positions 28 to 507 of the family's 1533-position model. The record is from RNAcentral.
GAUGAACGCUGGCGGCGUGCUUAACACAUGCAAGUCGAACGGAUAGGCUCCUGCUUGCAGGGGUACUCGAGUGGCGAACGGGUGAGUAACACGUGGGUGAUCUGCCCUGCACUUCGGGAUAAGCCUGGGAAACUGGGUCUAAUACCGGAUAGGACGAUGGUUUGGAUGCCAUUGUGGAAAGUUUUUUCGGUGUGGGAUGAGCUCGCGGCCUAUCAGCUUGUUGGUGGGGUAAUGGCCUACCAAGGCGUCGACGGGUAGCCGGCCUGAGAGGGUGUACGGCCACAUUGGGACUGAGAUACGGCCCAGACUCCUACGGGAGGCAGCAGUGGGGAAUAUUGCACAAUGGGCGCAAGCCUGAUGCAGCGACGCCGCGUGGGGGAUGACGGCCUUCGGGUUGUAAACUCCUUUCGCUAGGGACGAAGCGCAAGUGACGGUACCUGGAGAAGAAGCACCGGCUAACUACGUG